This 491-nucleotide long non-coding RNA is filed under the name Fukomys damarensis (Damara mole-rat). RNAcentral's name for it is "lncRNA (ENSFDAG00000028594.1)". The record is from RNAcentral. Lineage: Eukaryota; Metazoa; Chordata; Mammalia; Rodentia; Bathyergidae.
GCGCGUGGCAGUGCACAGGGAAAUGUCACCGUGUUUGUAAUCAGUCCCAGUGUGAGACUGUUGUCGCUGCACAAUCAGGCUUUGCAUUAAGUGACAAAUUUGCGGUCGUCCUCCUAUUCUGCCUGUCAUUUCUCUUCAACGGGGAUUCAUCGUCUCGGUUACAAGGCCCCGGAGCUUCGUGCCGCACACAGGCGCCCACAAAUGCACGCCCUGUGGUUGUGCUCAGCAAAAGAGCUGCUGCCUCCUGCGAGCUCCUCACAAACCCGUGUUUCUGCCUCUGCUGUCGGUGAGCACAGAUGGGUGGAGAGGAGGCAAACGGAGGAGCAGGCUGUGCUGGCGGCAAAAUAACACUGCCGAAUGUGAGGAGUGUCGCUGUCAGUCUGACCUGUGCCUUCCCAGGAGCCCCCAGCAGAUGAACGCCACCGUUACUGAACUUAGAUGGUGUUACAGUCCGAACGCUUGUCUCCUCGAAGUCCUGUGUUGAAGUCUUC